This 290-nucleotide long non-coding RNA is filed under the name Pan paniscus (pygmy chimpanzee). RNAcentral's name for it is "lncRNA (ENSPPAG00000045371.1)". Lineage: Eukaryota; Metazoa; Chordata; Mammalia; Primates; Hominidae. The record is from RNAcentral.
GCAAGCCCUAGAAUGCAUUUCCUUCAUCUCCCCCAACCAUCUGCAGGGCGGGAAGUGGGGUGAACCCACCCCCCGGGCUGACACAGUGAUGAGCAAUGGCAAUUUGCCUUAAAAACCCUAACGAGUGGAUCAUUGCUGCAGAGGAACGGGAGAACCCUCCAGUCCCCCGGCGGCCGCAUGCCACGGUCGGCUGUGCAGUAACCAGGCAGAGCACAAUGACAUCCCAGCCUCGCUCCCCAGAUAAAAAUUUCUCUCCCUCCACUUUUGCAAAGCUGCAGUGUGUUGAGUAA